GACGAACGCUGGCGGCGUGCCUAAUACAUGCAAGUAGAACGCUGAAGGAGGAGCUUCCUCUUCUGGAUGAGUUGCGAACGGGUGAGUAACGCGUAGGUAACCUGCCUGGUAGCGGGGGAUAACUAUUGGAAACGAUAGCUAAUACCGCAUAAAAUUGAUUAUUGCAUGAUAGUCAAUUAAAAUUCGCAAUUUCAUCACUACCAUAUGGCCCUGCGUUGUAUUAGCUAGUUGGUGAGGUAACAGCACACCAAGGCAAAGAAACAUAGGCGACCUGAGAGGGGGGUCGGCCCCACUGGGAACGAGACAAGGCCCAGGACCCUAAGGGAGGCAGCAGGAGGGGAACUUCGGCAAUGGGCGGAAGGCUGAACGAGGACCGCCGCGGGAGUGAAGAAGGUUGUCGGAUCGGAAAGCCCCGUUGUAAGAGAAGAACGAGUGUGAGAGUGGAAAGUUCACAUUGUGACGGUACCUUAACAGAAAGCGACGGCUAACUUCGUG
RNAcentral lists this ribosomal RNA (495 nucleotides) under uncultured bacterium. Its description in RNAcentral is "partial 16S ribosomal RNA". It matches the Rfam family "Bacterial small subunit ribosomal RNA", at positions 28 to 507 of the family's 1533-position model. The record is from RNAcentral.